RNAcentral lists this ribosomal RNA (250 nucleotides) under uncultured bacterium. Its description in RNAcentral is "partial 16S ribosomal RNA". It matches the Rfam family "Bacterial small subunit ribosomal RNA", at positions 524 to 773 of the family's 1533-position model. The record is from RNAcentral.
UACGUAGGGUCCAAGCGCUGUCCGGAAUUAUUGGGCGUAAAGGGCUCGUAGGCGGCCUGUCGCGUCUGGUGUGAAAGCACGGGGCUCAGCUCCGUGUCUGCGCUGGAUACGGGCAGGCUUGAGUGCCGCAGGGGGGAAUGGAAUUCCCGGUGUAACGGUGGAAUGUGUAGAUAUCGGGAAGAACACCGAUGGCGAAAGCAGUUCCCUGGGCGGUUACUGACGCUGAGGAGCGAAAGCGUAGGGAGCGAAC